AUUGAACGCUGGCGGCAGGCCUAACACAUGCAAGUCGAGCGGAUGAAUGGAGCUUGCUCCUGGAUUCAGCGGCGGACGGUUGAGUAGUGCCUAGGAAUCUGCCUGGUAGUGGGGGAUAACGUCCUGAAACGGGCUCUGAUACCGCAUGCGUCCUGAUGGAGACAUUGGGGGAGCUUCGGACCUCAUGCUUUCAGAUUAGCAUAGGUCGGAUUAGCUAGUUGGUGUGGUAAAGGCCUACCAAGGCGACGAUCCGUAACUGGUCUGAGAGCAUGAUCAGUCAGACUGUAAGUGAGAAAGGGCAGAGACUCCUACGGGAGGCCACAGUGGGGACUAUUGCACAAUGCACGAGUGCCUGAUCCUGCCAAGUCGCGUAUGUGAAGAAGGUCUUAGGCCUCUAAAACAAUUUAAGUUGGGAGGUAGGGCAGUACUUUAAUACCUUGCUGUUUUGACGUUACCAACAGAAUAAGCCCCGGCUAACUUCGUG
This 484-nucleotide ribosomal RNA is filed under the name uncultured bacterium. Its description in RNAcentral is "partial 16S ribosomal RNA". It matches the Rfam family "Bacterial small subunit ribosomal RNA", at positions 30 to 507 of the family's 1533-position model. The record is from RNAcentral.